Molecule: ribosomal RNA, 790 nt
Filed under: uncultured archaeon
Lineage: Archaea
Description: bacterial SSU rRNA
Rfam family: Archaeal small subunit ribosomal RNA
Source: RNAcentral
ACGGCUCAGUAACACGUGGAUAACCUGCCCUAUGCCCUGGGAUAACCUCGGGAAACUGAGAAUAAUACCGGAUAGAUCACAACGCCUGGAACGGUGUGUGGUUGAAAGGUUACGGCAUAGGAUGGGUCUGCGGCGUAUCAGGUUAUAGGGGGUGUAAUGGACCCCCUAGCCAUCGACGCGUACGGGUGUUGGGAGACAUAGCCCGGAGACGGAUUCUGAGACACGAAUCCGGACCCUACGGGGUGCAGCAGGCGCGAAAACUUCACACUGCAGGAAACUGUGAUGAGGGAACUCCAAGUGGAUGCACAUAGCGUAUCUCUUUUCUUUACUAUUAAUCGGUAUUGGAAUAAGGGCUGGGAAAGACCGGUGCCAGCCGCCGCGGUAAUACCGGCAGCUCGAGUGGUCGUCGCUUUUAUUGGGCCUAAAACGUCCGUAGCCGGUUUGGUAAAUCUGUGGGUAAAUCAACUAGCUUAACUAGUUGAAUUCUGCAGAGACUGCCAGACUAGGAACCGGGAGAGGUGUGGGGUACUCAAGGGGUAGGGGUAAAAUCCUGUCAUCCUUUGAGGACCACCAGUUGCGAAGGCGCCACACUAGAACGGAUUCGACGGUCAGGGACGAAGCCUAGGGGCACGAACCGGAUUAGAUACCCGGGUAGUCCUAGGUGUAAACGCUGAGAACUUGGUGUCGGGAGUCCGCAAUGGGCCCCCGGUGCCGGAGUGAAGAUGUUAAGUUCACUGCCUGGGGAGUACGGUCGCAAGGCUGAAACUUAAAGGAAUUGGCGGGGGAGCAC